CAGCGGCGGAGCCAGAAGUUCCUGGUGGUUGGCCUGAGGCCAGUCUUUGAGGCCGGACCCCGGGCAGUUUCGACGUCUACUGUGAGCCGGCUGUGGCCCCCACCUUCGUCUGCCCUGGUGUUGUACUCCACUGUCAUCAUGCCAGUCUUGAAGUGCCUAUAAGUGACUGAGAGCCUCCUUGGGAGGCUCAGUGAAGUGUGCAGCAUCAAAGAGGCAGAAAGAAAAGACCUUUGAAACCAGGAAGCAGAAAGGCCAGGCUGACUACUAUGUCUCUUGAUUCAAGAGAAGGAAAAAUUUCAGGACUGAAUUGAAGGAAUGGCAGAACAAAAUGGACCCAGUACCAAUUUUGGAUUGAAGCUGUGUUCAGCUUGUGUCUACAAGUGGCCAGAAGGAAUGAAUCAAGUCUUAAGAAUGGAACACCCAUCACAGGAGUGGACACAUGGAAGCACCAGGAACAGUACAGAACGGAAGUUCUCCCUCAAGGAUCUUUACUGAUGACUUGGAAAAGCAGAUGCAGAA
Molecule: long non-coding RNA, 519 nt
Organism: Otolemur garnettii (small-eared galago)
Lineage: Eukaryota; Metazoa; Chordata; Mammalia; Primates; Galagidae
Exons: 3
Source: RefSeq, a predicted model, not a curated record